This 402-nucleotide ribosomal RNA is filed under the name uncultured bacterium. Its description in RNAcentral is "bacterial SSU rRNA". It matches the Rfam family "Bacterial small subunit ribosomal RNA", at positions 356 to 773 of the family's 1533-position model. The record is from RNAcentral.
GGGGAAUAUUGCGCAAUGGGGGAAACCCUGACGCAGCAAUACCGCGUGAGUGAAGAAGGUUUUCGGAUCGUAAAGCUCUGUUAUUGGGGAAGAAAAAAAGACGGUACCCAAGGAGAAAGUUCCGGCUAACUACGUGCCAGCAGCCGCGGUAAUACGUAGGGAACAAGCGUUGUCCGGAUUUACUGGGCGUAAAGGGCACGCAGGCGGUUUUUUAAGUCAGAUGUGAAAGGUACCGGCUCAACCGGUGACAUGCAUUUGAAACUGAAAGACUUGAGUAUUGGAGAGGCAAGUGGAAUUCCUAGUGUAGCGGUGAAAUGCGUAGAGAUUAGGAGGAACACCAGUGGCGAAGGCGGCUUGCUGGACAAAUACUGACGCUGAGGUGCGAAAGCGUGGGGAGCAAAC